CCCACCCCUAUUGACACUCCAGUCAUUCCAUUACAAGAACACAAGAAUGGUCAUAUUGGGUCAAACCAAAGGUCCAUCUAGCCCAGUAUCUUGUCUUCCGAUAGCGGCCAAUGCCAGUGCUUCAGAGUGAAUGAACAGAACAGGUAAUCAUCAAGUGAUCUAUCC
Molecule: long non-coding RNA, 165 nt
Organism: Chelonia mydas (Green sea turtle)
Lineage: Eukaryota; Metazoa; Chordata; Testudines; Cheloniidae
Exons: 3
Source: RefSeq, a predicted model, not a curated record